UAGGGGUCAUUCCCUAGCUAUACUUCAUUUCUAAUAUGUAAUCAAAUUGGUAUGGGUUGCGACACCCACCAAAUUUUGGUGCCGUUGCCGGGGACCAACGGUUCGGUUUUAGGUCAUUUGUUGUGUUAGUGUGUGUUGUGUCUUGUCUUGUGUUGUGAGUGUGAUGUUCUGUUUUGUGUGUUCGAUUUUGUAUGUGUGUUAUGAGUGUUGCAUUUAGGUUGCUUUAGUUGCAUAUUUUCAUUGCAUUCUUCUUUCCCCCUUCUUUUCCAUGUCUACCUAUUUUGGUUAUGUGGAUACUGUUUCUCCUGCUUGUUACUCCGGUUAUGAUUCUCCUGUUGAUUUUUGUGUUGAGAACAGUAAGGUUCCUCCUCCAUCUCAUGAGAGUGCUCCUAGGGAGCCGUUUCCACUUGAUGAGGAGGAGGUUCGUUGUGUUUUCAACACUGGACUAAUUCAUGUGCUGCCU
RNAcentral lists this long non-coding RNA (463 nucleotides) under Vigna radiata. RNAcentral's name for it is "long non-coding RNA (VRAD_LNC015701)". The record is from RNAcentral. Lineage: Eukaryota; Viridiplantae; Streptophyta; Magnoliopsida; Fabales; Fabaceae.